Long non-coding RNA from Salvelinus namaycush (lake trout), 628 nucleotides. RefSeq lists it as uncharacterized. NCBI's taxonomy places the organism in Eukaryota, Metazoa, Chordata, Actinopteri, Salmoniformes, Salmonidae. The transcript is spliced from 2 exons. The record is from RefSeq and is a predicted model, not a curated record.
GUGAUUGGUUAAUCAGCAGAGCAGGACCGACCAACAGGAGCUGGCCACUGGAGGAGAGAAACACCGGGACACUGAGCACUGAUCAGGCAUGACCAAGGAGACAAACAGGUGAACGAAGACUCGGGGAAGCUGAAAGUGAUUCAUUUUGGUCUUGUUUGAAAACAGCCUUUGACCUUUUCUUUCUCGACUGUAAACUCCAUCUUUUUUUAUGCAUUUUUUUAAUCAAAUGUAUUCUGUAAAUAUAUCUGAUAACUGAUCUAGCUCUAUUCUGAAAUGUUGAUGUGUGAUUAGCCUAAGAAUUAUGAAUUUAAGUCUAAGUCAAAUGUCAAUAAUUAUGCUGUCUUGCUAGUAGGUUUUAUUUUAACAGAAUGUUGUAUAGGCUAUAUAGGCCUAGCCCUGUACAGCCCCAUCUCAGUUCUCUCACCCAGCCCUCCUGCUGAAAAAUUGUGUUUUACAUUUUCUGCCCAUUUAAUUGAAUUGUUCUUUAAUCCCAGCCUCGUUUAAAACAGUGCAGUAAUUAGGCUUUUUGUUUUUCAUGAUUGACCCUGGUCACCUUUUACAGUAUCCUAAUACAAAACUGUAAACUAGCCUAUUAUAUUGCUGUAUUAAAGAGGUUUUGUAUCUUGUG